CAGCAGCCGCGGGAACACAGAGGGUGCGAGCGUUAAUCGGAUUUACUGGGCGUAAAGCGUGCGUAGGCGGCUUUUUAAGUCGGAUGUGAAAUCCCUGAGCUUAACUUAGGAAUUGCAUUCGAUACUGGGAAGCUAGAGUAUGGGAGAGGAUGGUAGAAUUCCAGGUGUAGCGGUGAAAUGCGUAGAGAUCUGUAGGAAUACCGAUGGCGAAGGCAGCCAUCUGGCCUAAUACUGACGCUGAGGUACGAAAGCAUGGGGAGCAAACAGGAUUAGAUACCCCGGUAGUCCCUGUCUCUUAUAC
Molecule: ribosomal RNA, 301 nt
Filed under: uncultured bacterium
Lineage: Bacteria
Description: partial 16S ribosomal RNA
Rfam family: Bacterial small subunit ribosomal RNA
Source: RNAcentral